This is a long non-coding RNA of Gasterosteus aculeatus aculeatus (three-spined stickleback), 955 nucleotides long. The record is from Ensembl. Lineage: Eukaryota; Metazoa; Chordata; Actinopteri; Perciformes; Gasterosteidae.
GGCGGUCUGUGCUCACACGCUAACCCUUGUCUGCGUGUCUCUGGCUGACUUCUUACCUGUAUCUUAUCUUUGUUUUCUUUCUUCUCUGUGAGUGAAGGUUGUCCAACCCCCAUGUCUUUGUAUAAACAAAGUGCGGGCUGUGGGCGAGCAGGCCAGGGAGGAACCACAAGACGCGCUGCGUAGCUGACAUUCCCAGGAUUCCCUGCAGCAGGUCGAGCCUCUGACGGAGGCUGCUGAUGGUCGACACGCUUCAUUUGGGCCCACGGCUGGGAAGCAAAAAAACGUGGCUGCGGAAUUCCUCCAAAAAUGAGGCGUGGAAGGGCUACAAAUAGAAACAAGUUUGACCGUUGGGGCGGCCAGGUGGAUGGAGCGGAGGGAGAUCAGUUUAGAGGCAUAAACUGCACCACCUGCUUGAUGACGUCAAUGGGCAGUAAUGGAUGAGCUGCAUGAUAACUGUAACAAUACAGGAUAAUAAUGCGGCAUGGUGAUUUUUUCCCCCAAAGCCAUUCAGUACAUCUACUGUACCUUGCUGGGUGAAACAGAUCGUGACGGUUUCAAUGAGGGCAUUAACAGUUAACUGAGGGGUCAGAAACAGGGCUCGGUGAAGGUCUCUCUAACCCUAACCCUAACCCUACAGAGAUCACCAACUAUGCUAAAGAAGAAGAAAACCAUAGAGAAUGAGCCGGAAAACUAUCUGCUCACUCGUGGCAGGAGAUGUUUUGCUGCCACACCACUCAAAUGGAACUUUCUCUGAAAGGCGUUGUAAGAAAAACAGGCAGUUGCUAUUUAUACAGCUACACACCUGAGCAGGCAUCUAUCCAAACAAAAGGUCUUGAACCCAGCCCUUGCGUGCAUUUCCAAACCCAGACAUCUGAUUAAUUACAGUGUGGCCGUUGAGGUGAAAAAAAAAAACUAUCUGAUGAAAAGUCAGCGAGUCUGAAGGCUCAACCUGCCC